GAGGAAUAAGCAUCGGCUAACUCCGUGCCAGCAGCCGCGGUAAUACGGGGGAUGCAAGCGUUAUCCGGAAUCAUUGGGCGUAAAGCGCCUGUAGGUUGUUUAUUAAGUCUGUUGUUAAAGACUAGGGCUUAACCCUAGAAAAGCAAUGGAAACUAAUAGACUAGAGUAUGGCAGGGGUAGAGGGAAUUUCUAGUGUAGCGGUGAAAUGCGUAGAUAUUAGAAAGAACACCGGUGGCGAAAGCGCUCUACUGGACCAUUACUGACACUCAGAGGCGAAAGCUAGGGUAGCAAAAGGGAUUAGAUACCCCUGUAGUCCUAGCCGUAAACGAUGGAUACUAGAUGUUGUGCAUUAAGUACAGUAUCGUAGCUAACGCGUUAAGUAUCCCGCCUGGGGAGUACGCUCGCAAGGGUGAAACUCAAAGGAAUUGACGGGGGCCCGCACAAGCGGUGGAGCAUGUGGUUUAAUUCGAUGCAACGCGAAGAACCUUACCAGGGCUUGACAUACUACGAAUUCUUUUGAAAGAGAGAAGUGCCUUCGGGAAUGUAGAUACAGGUGGUGCAUGGCUGUCGUCAGCUCGUGUCGUGAGAUGUUGGGUUAAGUCCCGCAACGAGCGCAACCCUUAUUUUUAGUUACCAAUUCGUUGGGUUUUUUAGAAAGACUGCCGGUGACAAACCGGAGGAAGGUGAGGAUGACGUCAAGUCAGCAUGCCCCUUAUGUCCUGGGCUACACACGUGCUACAAUGGUUAAGACAAAGAGUUGCGAGCUUGCAAAAGCCAGCUAAUCUCAUAAACUUAGCCUAAGUUCAGAUUGUAGGCUGCAACUCGCCUACAUGAAG
This 836-nucleotide ribosomal RNA is filed under the name Haptophyta environmental samples. RNAcentral's name for it is "bacterial SSU rRNA". It matches the Rfam family "Bacterial small subunit ribosomal RNA", at positions 481 to 1325 of the family's 1533-position model. The record is from RNAcentral. Lineage: Eukaryota; Haptophyta.